This 258-nucleotide unclassified non-coding RNA is filed under the name Athalia rosae (coleseed sawfly). Its description in RNAcentral is "misc RNA ENSAEAG00005011343.1". Lineage: Eukaryota; Metazoa; Arthropoda; Insecta; Hymenoptera; Athaliidae. The record is from RNAcentral.
UUAAACCUGACCCAAUUAUUAAUCGUAAUUAGUAUGCGAUACGGAUACGUUGCACCCGGUGACGUAUACGCGAUGCAUAACCUAACCUAGUCUAUAUACAUAUAUACAUAUACAUGUAUAUAUCGGCGUCGACGACGACAUCGGGGUGACGUGCCUAGACUGCAUAUCGCUAGAAAUUAGAAUUAGAAACAGAAUUCGUAUGAGACGGCGUAACUAGUUGUCGGGUUGGGCUAGGUCUUCUCGUCGUAGCGCAAUACG